Achromatium sp. WMS2 is the source of this 170-nucleotide non-coding RNA. NCBI's taxonomy places the organism in Bacteria, Pseudomonadati, Pseudomonadota, Gammaproteobacteria, Thiotrichales, Thiotrichaceae. The record is from Rfam.
GUAACCGCAAUGUUAAACUGAAAGAAGGGAGAGGUAAAGACACAACCGCACAAACCGAAACAGGUAAAGAGACAGAGUGUGGCGAUAAGCUUGCUAAGGAACGCGAAAUCCAACUGUCACCGAAAGACACAUCAAGUAGAGCCUGACGGCACGAGUCAAAAGUACAUGCC